RNAcentral lists this ribosomal RNA (467 nucleotides) under uncultured bacterium. RNAcentral describes it as "partial 16S ribosomal RNA". It matches the Rfam family "Bacterial small subunit ribosomal RNA", at positions 28 to 507 of the family's 1533-position model. The record is from RNAcentral.
GAUGAACGCUGGCGGCGUGCUUAACACAUGCAAGUCGAACGGAAAGGCCCAAGCUUGCUUGGGUACUCGAGUGGCGAACGGGUGAGUAACACGUGGGGGAUCUGCCCUUCACUUCGGGAUAAGCCUGGGAAACUGGGUCUAAUACCGGAUAGGACCUCUUUUUGGAUGGUGUGGAGGAAAGUUUUGCGGUGUUGGAUGAGCUCGUGGCGUAUUAGCCUGUUGGUGGGGUAAUGGCCUACCAAGGCGUCGACGGGGAGCGGGCCUGAGAGGGUGCACGGACGCACUGGGCCUCUGCUACAGGCAGCAGUCCGGCGGGAGGCGGAAGUGGGGAAUAUUGGACAGUGGGAGCCAGCGUGAGGCAGCGAGGCCGCGUGGGGGUUGAAGGCUUUCGGGUUGUAAGCACAUUUGGCUAGGGAAGAAGCGUUUUUGUGACGGUACCUGGAGAAGAAGCCCCGGCUAACUACGUG